CCGUACGUAGCGCAGAGGCAGGCGCGCCGUCAUGGCAUGACGGAGGACGCCGGUUCGAAUCCGGCCGUACGGG
This 73-nucleotide transfer RNA is filed under the name Streptosporangium nondiastaticum. RNAcentral's name for it is "tRNA-Ala". It matches the Rfam family "tRNA". From Rfam's summary of the family: Transfer RNA (tRNA) molecules are approximately 80 nucleotides in length. Their secondary structure includes four short double-helical elements and three loops (D, anti-codon, and T loops). RNAcentral also lists the same sequence under 1 other name. The record is from RNAcentral. Lineage: Bacteria; Bacillati; Actinomycetota; Actinomycetes; Streptosporangiales; Streptosporangiaceae.